RNAcentral lists this ribosomal RNA (509 nucleotides) under uncultured bacterium. RNAcentral describes it as "partial 16S ribosomal RNA". It matches the Rfam family "Bacterial small subunit ribosomal RNA", at positions 28 to 506 of the family's 1533-position model. The record is from RNAcentral.
GACGAACGCUGGCGGCGUGCUUAACACAUGCAAGUCGAACGAAGAGCGACGGAAGCUUGCUUCUAUCAAUCUUAGUGGCGAACGGGUGAGUAACGCGUAAUCAACCUGCCCUUCAGAGGGGGACAACAGUUGGAAACGACUGCUAAUACCGCAUACGAUCUAACCUCGGCAUCGAGGAUAGAUGAAAGGUGGCCUCUACAUGUAAGCUAUCACUGAAGGAGGGGAUUGCGUCUGAUUAGCUAGUUGGAGGGGUAACGGCCCACCAAGGCGAUGAUCAGUAGCCGGUCUGAGAGGAUGAACGGCCACAUUGGGACUGAGACACGGCCCAGACUCCUACGGGAGGCAGCAGUGGGGAAUCUUCCGCAAUGGACGAAAGUCUGACGGAGCAACGCCGCGUGAGUGAUGACGGCCUUCGGGUUGUAAAGCUCUGUUAAUCGGGACGAAAGGCCUUCUUGCGAAGAGUGAGAAGGAUUGACGGUACCGGAAUAGAAAGCCACGGCUAACUACGU